This 1489-nucleotide ribosomal RNA is filed under the name Lactiplantibacillus pentosus. Its description in RNAcentral is "bacterial SSU rRNA". It matches the Rfam family "Bacterial small subunit ribosomal RNA". The record is from RNAcentral. Lineage: Bacteria; Bacillati; Bacillota; Bacilli; Lactobacillales; Lactobacillaceae. RNAcentral also lists the same sequence under 1 other name.
GACGAACGCUGGCGGCGUGCCUAAUACAUGCAAGUCGAACGAACUCUGGUAUUGAUUGGUGCUUGCAUCAUGAUUUACAUUUGAGUGAGUGGCGAACUGGUGAGUAACACGUGGGAAACCUGCCCAGAAGCGGGGGAUAACACCUGGAAACAGAUGCUAAUACCGCAUAACAACUUGGACCGCAUGGUCCGAGUUUGAAAGAUGGCUUCGGCUAUCACUUUUGGAUGGUCCCGCGGCGUAUUAGCUAGAUGGUGGGGUAACGGCUCACCAUGGCAAUGAUACGUAGCCGACCUGAGAGGGUAAUCGGCCACAUUGGGACUGAGACACGGCCCAAACUCCUACGGGAGGCAGCAGUAGGGAAUCUUCCACAAUGGACGAAAGUCUGAUGGAGCAACGCCGCGUGAGUGAAGAAGGGUUUCGGCUCGUAAAACUCUGUUGUUAAAGAAGAACAUAUCUGAGAGUAACUGUUCAGGUAUUGACGGUAUUUAACCAGAAAGCCACGGCUAACUACGUGCCAGCAGCCGCGGUAAUACGUAGGUGGCAAGCGUUGUCCGGAUUUAUUGGGCGUAAAGCGAGCGCAGGCGGUUUUUUAAGUCUGAUGUGAAAGCCUUCGGCUCAACCGAAGAAGUGCAUCGGAAACUGGGAAACUUGAGUGCAGAAGAGGACAGUGGAACUCCAUGUGUAGCGGUGAAAUGCGUAGGUAUAUGGAAGAACACCAGUGGCGAAGGCGGCUGUCUGGUCUGUAACUGACGCUGAGGCUCGAAAGUAUGGGUAGCAAACAGGAUUAGAUACCCUGGUAGUCCAUACCGUAAACGAUGAAUGCUAAGUGUUGGAGGGUUUCCGCCCUUCAGUGCUGCAGCUAACGCAUUAAGCAUUCCGCCUGGGGAGUACGGCCGCAAGGCUGAAACUCAAAGGAAUUGACGGGGGCCCGCACAAGCGGUGGAGCAUGUGGUUUAAUUCGAAGCUACGCGAAGAACCUUACCAGGUCUUGACAUACUAUGCAAAUCUAAGAGAUUAGACGUUCCCUUCGGGGACAUGGAUACAGGUGGUGCAUGGUUGUCGUCAGCUCGUGUCGUGAGAUGUUGGGUUAAGUCCCGCAACGAGCGCAACCCUUAUUAUCAGUUGCCAGCAUUAAGUUGGGCACUCUGGUGAGACUGCCGGUGACAAACCGGAGGAAGGUGGGGAUGACGUCAAAUCAUCAUGCCCCUUAUGACCUGGGCUACACACGUGCUACAAUGGAUGGUACAACGAGUUGCGAACUCGCGAGAGUAAGCUAAUCUCUUAAAGCCAUUCUCAGUUCGGAUUGUAGGCUGCAACUCGCCUACAUGAAGUCGGAAUCGCUAGUAAUCGCGGAUCAGCAUGCCGCGGUGAAUACGUUCCCGGGCCUUGUACACACCGCCCGUCACACCAUGAGAGUUUGUAACACCCAAAGUCGGUGGGGUAACCUUUUAGGAACCAGCCGCCUAAGGUGGGACAGAUGAUUAGGGUG